GCAAAGCACUCCUACGGGAGGCAGCAGUGGGGAAUAUUGCACAAUGGGCGCAAGCCUGAUGCAGCCAUGCCGCGUGUAUGAAGAAGGCCUUCGGGUUGUAAAGUACUUUCAGCAGUGAGGAAGGUGGAUAUGUUAAUAGCAUAUUCAUUUGACGUUAGCUGCAGAAGAAGCACCGGCUAACUCCGUGCCAGCAGCCGCGGUAAUACGGAGGGUGCGAGCGUUAAUCGGAAUUACUGGGCGUAAAGCGCAUGCAGGUGGUUUGUUAAGUCAGAUGUGAAAGCCCGGGGCUCAACCUCGGAAUUGCAUUUGAAACUGGCAAACUAGAGUACUGUAGAGGGGGUAGAAUUUCAGGUGUAGCGGUGAAAUGCGUAGAGAUCUGAAGGAAUACCGGUGGCGAAGGCGGCCCCCUGGACAGAUACUGACACUCAGAUGCGAAAGCGUGGGGAGCAAACAGGAUUAGAUACCCUGGUAG
RNAcentral lists this ribosomal RNA (472 nucleotides) under uncultured bacterium. RNAcentral describes it as "bacterial SSU rRNA". It matches the Rfam family "Bacterial small subunit ribosomal RNA", at positions 328 to 793 of the family's 1533-position model. The record is from RNAcentral.